RNAcentral lists this ribosomal RNA (1487 nucleotides) under uncultured bacterium. RNAcentral's name for it is "16S ribosomal RNA". It matches the Rfam family "Bacterial small subunit ribosomal RNA". The record is from RNAcentral.
AGAGUUUGAUCAUGGCUCAGAUUGAACGCUGGCGGCAGGCCUAACACAUGCAAGUCGAACGGUAACAGGACUAGCUUGCUAGUUGCUGACGAGUGGCGGACGGGUGAGUAAUGCUUGGGAAUUUGCCUUUGGGAGGGGGAUAACCACUGGAAACGGUGGCUAAUACCGCAUAACGUCUACGGACCAAAGGGGGCUUAGGCUCCCACCUAUAGAGAAGCCCAAGUGAGAUUAGCUAGUUGGUGAGGUAAAGGCUCACCAAGGCGACGAUCUCUAGCUGUUCUGAGAGGAAGAUCAGCCACACUGGAACUGAGACACGGUCCAGACUCCUACGGGAGGCAGCAGUGGGGAAUAUUGCACAAUGGGGGAAACCCUGAUGCAGCCAUGCCGCGUGUGUGAAGAAGGCCUUCGGGUUGUAAAGCACUUUCAGUUGUGAGGAAAGGUUAGUAGUUAAUACCUGCUAGCUGUGACGUUAGCAACAGAAGAAGCACCGGCUAACUCCGUGCCAGCAGCCGCGGUAAUACGGAGGGUGCAAGCGUUAAUCGGAAUUACUGGGCGUAAAGCGCACGCAGGCGGUUUGUUAAGCUAGAUGUGAAAGCCCCGGGCUCAACCUGGGAUGGUCAUUUAGAACUGGCAGACUAGAGUUUUGGAGAGGGGAGUGGAAUUCCAGGUGUAGCGGUGAAAUGCGUAGAUAUCUGGAGGAACAUCAGUGGCGAAGGCGACUCUCUGGCCAAAGACUGACGCUCAUGUGCGAAAGUGUGGGUAGCGAACAGGAUUAGAUACCCUGGUAGUCCACACCGUAAACGCUGUCUACUAGCUGUGUGUGAAUUUAAUUCGUGCGUAGCGAAGCUAACGCGCUAAGUAGACCGCCUGGGGAGUACGGCCGCAAGGUUAAAACUCAAAUGAAUUGACGGGGGCCCGCACAAGCGGUGGAGCAUGUGGUUUAAUUCGAUGCAACGCGAAGAACCUUACCUACACUUGACAUGCAGAGAACUUUCCAGAGAUGGAUUGGUGCCUUCGGGAACUCUGACACAGGUGCUGCAUGGCUGUCGUCAGCUCGUGUCGUGAGAUGUUGGGUUAAGUCCCGCAACGAGCGCAACCCUUGUCCUUAGUUGCCAGCAUUAAGUUGGGCACUUUAAGGAGACUGCCGGUGACAAACCGGAGGAAGGUGGGGACGACGUCAAGUCAUCAUGGCCCUUACGGGAUGGGCUACACACGUGCUACAAUGGCAGGUACAGAGGGCAGCGAUACCGCGAGGUGGAGCGAAUCCCAGAAAGCUUGUCGUAGUCCGGAUUGGAGUCUGCAACUCGACUCCAUGAAGUCGGAAUCGCUAGUAAUCGUGGAUCAGAAUGCCACGGUGAAUACGUUCCCGGGCCUUGUACACACCGCCCGUCACACCAUGGGAGUGGGAUGCAAAAGAAGUGGCUAGUUUAACCUUCGGGAGGACGGUCACCACUUUGUGUUUCAUGACUGGGGUGAAGUCGUAACAA